CGCCACCAGAAUCUCAACCCUCCCUCAGAGCGUUCCAUCGCGCCCAGAACUGACCGACAUGCAGUCCAGAGCCUGGGAGCAGCAUGAAAAAGAGCUGGCAAAAAAGGAGACAUCUUUGCAAAGCGGAAUACCCAGAGAGAACCUACUAAUCAAUGGGGAGAACAUGCAAAAAGACUCCAGUCCAAGAUUUAAAGCCCGGACCAUUUGCAAGGUAGUGUUUACAUCUGUGCUACGAUGAAAUCUAAAUUUAUGUAGCUCUUUCAUAGUCAUACCAACCUCUCAGUGCUUUACACUAGAGCCACAAUUACCCAUUUGCACUCACAAACACGCACAAAUUCAUAAAUCGAUUCGCAGAUUGGUAGAUGUGUUGGGGUUAAGUGUUUUGCCCA
This is a long non-coding RNA of Girardinichthys multiradiatus, 389 nucleotides long. RefSeq lists it as uncharacterized. Lineage: Eukaryota; Metazoa; Chordata; Actinopteri; Cyprinodontiformes; Goodeidae. The record is from RefSeq and is a predicted model, not a curated record. The transcript has 3 exons.